This 702-nucleotide non-coding RNA is filed under the name Serpula lacrymans var. lacrymans S7.3. RNAcentral describes it as "Eukaryotic large subunit ribosomal RNA". It matches the Rfam family "Eukaryotic large subunit ribosomal RNA", at positions 1 to 673 of the family's 3401-position model. The record is from Rfam by way of RNAcentral. Lineage: Eukaryota; Fungi; Basidiomycota; Agaricomycetes; Boletales; Serpulaceae.
UGACCUCAAAUCAGGUAGGAUUACCCGCUGAACUUAAGCAUAUCAAUAAGCGGAGGAAAAGAAACUAACAAGGAUUCCCCUAGUAACUGCGAGUGAAGCGGGAAGAGCUCAAAUUUUAAAUCUGGCGGUCCUCGUGGUCGUCCGAGUUGUAAUCUAGAGAAGCGUUUUCCGCGCUGGACCGUGUACAAGUCUCCUGGAACGGAGCGUCAUAGAGGGUGAGAAUCCCGUCUCUGACACGGACUACCAGGGCUUUUGUGAUGCGCUCUCGACGAGUCGAGUUGUUUGGGAAUGCAGCUCAAAUUGGGUGGUAAAUUCCAUCUAAAGCUAAAUAUAGGCGAGAGACCGAUAGCGAACAAGUACCGUGAGGGAAAGAUGAAAAGAACUUUGGAAAGAGAGUUAAACAGUACGUGAAAUUGCUGAAAGGGAAACGCUUGAAGUCAGUCGCGUUGGCCGGGGAUCAGCCUUGCAAUCUUGUUGGGUGCAUUUCCUGGUUGACGGGUCAGCAUCAAUUUUGACCGUCGGAGAAGGGUUGAGGGAAUGUGGCAUCCUUCGGGGUGUGUUAUAGCCUUUGAUCGUAUGCGACGGUUGGGAUUGAGGAACUCAGCAUGACCCCUCGUGGGUUUGGGGCUUCGGCUCACAUCCAUGCUUAGGAUGCUGGCAUAAUGGCUUUAAGCGACCCGUCUUGAAACACGGACCAAGGAG